This 462-nucleotide ribosomal RNA is filed under the name uncultured bacterium. RNAcentral's name for it is "partial 16S ribosomal RNA". It matches the Rfam family "Bacterial small subunit ribosomal RNA", at positions 338 to 795 of the family's 1533-position model. The record is from RNAcentral.
CCUACGGGGUGCAGCAGUGAGGAAUAUUGGUCAAUGGACGCAAGUCUGAACCAGCCAAGUAGCGUGCAGGAUGACGGCCCUCCGGGUUUUAAACUGCUUUUAGUUGGGAAUAAAAGGGGGCUCGUGAGCCCCGUAUUGUAUGUACCAUCAGAAAAAGGACCGGCUAAUUCCGUGCCAGCAGCAGCGGUACUACGGAAGGUCCGGGCGUUAACCGGAUUUAUUGGGUUUAAAGGGCGUGUAGCCGGGCUGACAAGUCAGAUGUGCAAUCCCGUGGCUCAACCACGGAACUGCAUUUGAAACUGUAGGUCUUGAGUAUCGGAGAGGCAGGCGGAAUUCCUAGGGUAGCGGUGAAAUGCGUAGAUAUUAGGAGGAACACCAGUGGCGAAGGCGGCCUGCUGGACGAUAACGGACGGUGAGGCGCGAAAGCGUGGGGAGCAAACAGGAUUAGAUACCCCUGUAGUC